AUGACAGCUCUAGAAAGAGAGGUCACACUCCCUGUUAAGCUUAUCGACAAGAGUGACCCUUUAAUUUUUCUUUGGUACAGUAGUUGCAAGCUAUACACCCAAGCUUUUAAGCUUUCCGACAUUGGAGGAGAUCUAGCAUAUACUAUAGCAACCACCACAAGUACUGUCUCUGAAACUACAACCUAUGACAUCAAGGAGCAUGGGCAAGCGACAAAGAGAGAGGAUAGAGACAAGAAAGGGAGAGGGAUAGAAUUCAAUUUAGUGUGGAGGUUGCAUACUACGAUGUAG
Molecule: non-coding RNA, 288 nt
Organism: Vicia faba (fava bean)
Lineage: Eukaryota; Viridiplantae; Streptophyta; Magnoliopsida; Fabales; Fabaceae
Source: the annotation of a GenBank genome assembly